GAGGAGGCUAAAGAAAAUAUCAAUACUAAAGGAAUUUCUGGAUUUUAAUUCACUGUUUUAAAGAAUAUUGUUUUGGUUUUGUGAUGAAGAAGCAUUGAUGAAUUUGUUCUAAAACAUUUGAAAGAUGUUGAACUAAAAUUCUCAGUUCCUGGCAAGCCCCUGAAGUUAUACAUUUGACUUUCACUUUAAGCCCAGUGAAUAUUUUAAAAACAACGCACUAACAAAGACAUAUAAAGUCUUGACUGGAAUUUAUAGCAAAUGCUUACCUUUCUCAGGGAGUUGAAAUUCAAAGCUGCAUAGGAUGUCAAGUAGAUUGGAACAAAGGAAAAAAACUAUCACAGUGAAAACCAUUCAGGAGAAAAGCGGUGUAAAUGGGAAAAAACAAAAUUACUUAAGUAGUUGCAGUGACUCGUUCUUUAAUUUGUUAGUCCUCCUGUAGUU
Molecule: long non-coding RNA, 441 nt
Filed under: Homo sapiens (human)
Lineage: Eukaryota; Metazoa; Chordata; Mammalia; Primates; Hominidae
Description: non-protein coding lnc-PIK3C3-3:1
Source: RNAcentral